This 391-nucleotide ribosomal RNA is filed under the name uncultured bacterium. RNAcentral describes it as "bacterial SSU rRNA". It matches the Rfam family "Bacterial small subunit ribosomal RNA", at positions 28 to 423 of the family's 1533-position model. The record is from RNAcentral.
GACGAACGCUGGCGGCGUGCUUAACACAUGCAAGUCGAGCGAGGCCCUUCUUCGGGAGGUGCCCUAGCGGCGAACGGGUGAGUAACACGUGGGCAACCUGCCCUCAGCUCUGGGAUAACUCCAAGAAAUUGGUGCUAAUACCGGAUGUGACCGCUGACCGCAUGGUCUGGUGGUGGAAAGAUUCAUCGGCUGAGGAUGGGCCCGCGGCCUAUCAGCUUGUUGGUGGGGAAUGGCCUACCAAGGCGACGACGGGUAGCCGGCCUGAGAGGGUGACCGGCCACACUGGGACUGAGACACGGCCCAGACUCCUACGGGAGGCAGCAGUGGGGAAUAUUGCGCAAUGGGCGAAAGCCUGACGCAGCGACGCCGCGUGAGGGAUGACGGCCUCGGU